Long non-coding RNA from Siniperca chuatsi (mandarin fish), 204 nucleotides. RefSeq lists it as uncharacterized. The record is from RefSeq and is a predicted model, not a curated record. The transcript is spliced from 3 exons. NCBI's taxonomy places the organism in Eukaryota, Metazoa, Chordata, Actinopteri, Centrarchiformes, Sinipercidae.
CUUUUUUUGUGUGCCAUUUCUGCUUUAUUAGAGAGUCACAGUUCAGAGAGACAGGAAAGGCAGGACAGAGUGGGGAUGACAUGCAGCAAAGGAUUCGAACCUGGGCCUCUGCAGUUGAUACACGGAUGUGUAGAACAGAAGAUCAAAGGCCAAAAAGAGAUGACUUUUCAUCUUGGUAAUGGUCCAUCAUCUGCAAAGUGGGAG